UGGAUGAGCCUCCGGCCUAUCAGCUUGUUGGUGGGGUAAUGGCCUACCAAGCGGCGACGGGUAUCCGGCCUGAGAGGGUGUACGGACACAUUGGGACUGAGAUACGGCCCAGACUCCUACGGGAGGCAGCAGUGGGGAAUAUUGCACAAUGGGCGCAAGCCUGAUGCAGCGACGCCGCGUGGGGGAUGACGGCCUUCGGGUUGUAAACUCCUUUCGCUAUCGACGAAGCCACCUUUGGUGGUGACGGUAGGUAGAUAAGAAGCACCGGCUAACUACGUGCCAGCAGCCGCGGUAAUACGUAGGGUGCAAGCGUUGUCCGGAAUUACUGGGCGUAAAGAGCUCGUAGGUGGUUUGUCGCGUCGUCUGUGAAAUCCCGGGGCUUAACUUCGGGCGUGCAGGCGAUACGGGCAUAACUUGAGUGCUGUAGGGGAGACUGGAAUUCCUGGUGUAGCGGUGAAAUGCGCAGAUAUCAGGAGGAACACCGAUGGCGAAGGCAGGUCUCUGGGCAGUAACUGACGCUGAGGAGCGAAAGCAUGGGUAGCGAACAGGAUUAGAUACCCUGGUAGUCCAUGCCGUAAACGGUGGGCGCUAGGUGUAGGGGGCUUCCACGUCUUCUGUGCCGUAGCUAACGCAUUAAGCGCCCCGCCUGGGGAGUACGGCCGCAAGGCUAAAACUCAAAGGAAUUGACGGGGGCCCGCACAAGCGGUA
RNAcentral lists this ribosomal RNA (708 nucleotides) under uncultured Corynebacterium sp. RNAcentral's name for it is "bacterial SSU rRNA". It matches the Rfam family "Bacterial small subunit ribosomal RNA", at positions 222 to 934 of the family's 1533-position model. Lineage: Bacteria; Bacillati; Actinomycetota; Actinomycetes; Mycobacteriales; Corynebacteriaceae. The record is from RNAcentral.